Homo sapiens (human) is the source of this 1152-nucleotide RNA transcript. It is a transcript of the gene named cytochrome c oxidase copper chaperone COX17, with no coding region annotated. The transcript is spliced from 6 exons. The record is from RefSeq and is marked reviewed. NCBI's taxonomy places the organism in Eukaryota, Metazoa, Chordata, Mammalia, Primates, Hominidae.
AUUGCGGCGCUCUGGAGAUAAUUAUUGGGCCUUGUAGGUUUCGUGGUCGGGUCUCUGUUGACUUAUCCCGUAGCUUAGUACCGGGAAACGAUGGAGAGAGAGGAGAACGGCAAGCUUCAACCACUCAUUCCUUCCUACAAAUUAUCAUCGAGAAAGGAGAAGAACACUGUGGACAUCUAAUUGAGGCCCACAAGGAAUGCAUGAGAGCCCUAGGAUUUAAAAUAUGAAAUGGGUCUCACUCUGUUACCCAGGCUGGGGUGAAGUGGCCCAAUCACAGCUCAUUGCAGCCUCAACCUGGGAGGUUCAGGUGAGUAUAGGUGCUUGGAGAGGAUAAGGAAAUCACCCUGAUCCAAUAGCUGGUAACCUGCGAGGCAUAUCCUAUCUCAUGACUAUGGUAACUUCAAGCAUUACAUCGUCACGCAACUAUUCAAGCCUGGAUGAAAGCAUGAACCAGCAUGGACAAGUAACAAACAGUUUGAAGACCAGGCUGAGUUCAUGACCACACUUGUUGACUCUGGUGACUUCAUAAGAUGGCCCCCGCCUGCCUCGCCUGCCUCUUGUCUGCUGCUCCUUUUGAUUCACCUACAACAAGCUGUUCUCUGUUACCAGAAUAUGCCACGUAUUUUGUUUUACUUCUGGGACUGACUUUACAAUCUGUUCUUUCUUCCUGGAAUGCCCUCCUCUAGCUGGGGAAAACCUACUCAUCUUUUUAGACCAGAUUAAAAGUCACCUUCCCUGUGAUGUUUUCUCGUGGAAAAAAAUAUUUUUUUAAGAGACAGUGGUCUCACUAUGUUGCCUAGGCUGGUCUCAAACUCCUGGGCACAAGUGAUCCUCCCAUCUCAGCCUCCCAGAAUACUAGGAUUAUAGACAUAAGCCAUCACGCCCCCAACCUCAUGAAUUUUAGUUAGGUUAUAGCAGUAUAGUAAAAGUCCCUAUGGAUUGAAUUAUUUGCUCCCUCAUAAGUGUUUUUUCUUUGAAUCCUAAGUACACUUAUUUUAUUGGAUUACAGUUUCUGAGUCAGUAUCCGGGAUAGACUGAAAGUUUCUUGAAGUGAUAAUUGUCUUAUUCAUCUUUAUAUCCCCUGUUCUUGGAACACAUAGUCUGUCCUGAAUAAAUGCCUAUUGAAUUGAAUCAGCUCAACAAAUGAGAAAA